AUGAAAUGCCUUGUCCCAUAUCAUGCCAACAGCCUGAACCAGUCUGGAAUAGCGUCGAGGUGGAGUGAUUUGCAUACCCAUUUAAGUUCACAGUUAAUGCUAAUUGGUAGUAGCUGGAAAAUGGAGCUUCUCAAACUGAUCCUUGCCAUUUCGAGAGUUCAGUUCCCAGGGUUACUCCCACUAGCCCUAGGACCCACCUGCUUCCCCGGUUCUUUUCUCCAGCUUUGUGUGACAAGCAAGAAGCUGUUGCCAUAUGUCCUAGUGGGGAAGCCUUCCCUGUGCAGAGCAGCAGGAGUUAUUGUGUCACGGUGGAGAAAUCCUAACGUUGGGAUCCUGCAGUAUGUGGCAUUACAGGGGACUCUUGAAGCUGGCUAGCGCACUGUUCCUGUAACGCUGCAGCCGGGCUAAUGCUGUGAAUCGUAUGAUUGAUGUCCUAGGGGCUGCACUCCCUGCUGCUUUAAACAGGAAGCUCUUCUCGUAUCAUUUCAGUUCAGCAAACAAGGCCACUUCCUUAACAAUACAAUAACAGGAAUUUGAUCAGAAACUUCAAAAUUCAGUUCUCGAAGGCAUGAAGGUGAUUGCUUUCAUUCUUGCAUUAUCUGCAGUUAUUAGGCAUAAAAGCUGUGCUUCUUGUUUUAAAAAAAACAGCUUUUCCUCAUAUUCUUUUUACAAGGAGGAAUCUGGCUUUUUUAUGAUUGCUAAAAUGUCAUUCCCUUUUUGCUAGAGAUUUCUCAUUCUUCUUUUUUCCCCUCGACUAAAUUUACAUUGCCAAUAUCACAGUGUGAUUCGGCAGGAAAAUGCACUCGGCUACUUCUAAGUACUUUUCUUCUUUUAAUAUCCCUGUGUGGUUCACCACUGAGAACAGUAGUUUUAGGCACACAUUGUUCAGGUGCAGGUUGCUCAAGAGGUAAGCCUCUUCCACUGCCUGUGUUCAUUUGCUGCUUCUAUACAGAUACAAGAAAUAUUACAGCUAAAUAAAACAGGAUUAUUUAUAUUGCA
Molecule: long non-coding RNA, 999 nt
Filed under: Anser brachyrhynchus (Pink-footed goose)
Lineage: Eukaryota; Metazoa; Chordata; Aves; Anseriformes; Anatidae
Description: lncRNA (ENSABRG00000009411.1)
Source: RNAcentral